This is an RNA transcript of Eurytemora carolleeae, 3824 nucleotides long. It is a transcript of the gene named leucine-rich repeat-containing protein 24, with no coding region annotated. NCBI's taxonomy places the organism in Eukaryota, Metazoa, Arthropoda, Copepoda, Calanoida, Temoridae. The record is from RefSeq and is a predicted model, not a curated record.
GAGGAGGUAUUUUUAUCUCUGACCAAUUUAAAGUCCUUGGAGCUUCAUAGGAACCCCUGGAGAUGUGACUGCAAUCUCAAAUCUUUCAGAGAGUGGAUAGUAGCCAGGGGUCUGUACAACUAUCCAACUACCUGUAAGGAACCUGAAAGAUUGGCUGAGAAGCUUUGGGAUAAUAUUCCAAGCACGGAGUUUGCAUGCAAGCCCAAGAUCCAAGUAUCUCAAGGAAGAGUGUACAGUCAACCAGGAACCAAUGUCACGCUGGGCUGUCUUAUAAAAGGAAACCCGAUCCCGGAGGCUAAAUGGGUUCUCAGGGGAAGAAUAGUGAAUAAUAAUACUAGUCCUUCUGGUUCAAAUACACAAAUCUACCUUAUACAUGAAUUAGGAGGUCUGGAGAGAUGGUUUAAUCUUACAGUUGUAAAUCUUCAGGAGGAGGAUGCUGAUGAUUAUACUUGUGUUGCUGUAAACGCAGGCGGGGUCUCAGAACAGAAUGUUUCUCUAACAUUUGAUACUCCAGUCAUACUUGGAGAUAGUCAGGAACCCAGGGAGAAAAAAGAAGAUGAAAUGAGAACAGUUUUGGCUGUGGCUGGAGGAUGUAUGUUAACCCUACUAAGUGUAUCCCUGGUAUCCUAUAUCUGCUGUAGUACCAGGAGAAGACGAGGACAAGCACAAAAUGACUCUCAGAAUAUCAUGGAACCAGGGUUCUCUGAUAGCCAUCGACUUCUAGAACCAAGAGGAAUUCUGAAAAACAGAGGAAAUCCGGGAGAUGAAAAGGACCGAAAUAUCGAUUUUGAAUCCUACCCUGAUCUACUAAAUACAACGGAUAAAUCUGAUCGACUAACUCUUGGGAAUACUUCUGGACACAUGCAGACACUAUUAGACGCCAAUCAGGCUCCUGACCAACCUCUGGAUCCGAAUCAUCUACCCUGCUGUACCUGCUAUACAGCACCACAAGCAGCAGUCAUGGAAAUCAACUGCACUUGCCCCACAUCUGUUCCAAGUAACUUUACUAUACCAACAGCAGCUAUCCUGCCUCCACCACCCAGCUUUCUAGCCCCGUACACCUCACCUGUACAGACAGUUCCCUUGCAGACUGGAGGAAAAGAAGGAAACCGGUUUAUCACCCUUCCUAGACACACCAGACAAAAGGGCGAGAUUUGUAGAGAGGAGGGAAAUUCCAAAAAUAUCAAUAGGCAGAACCUUACAGAUCUGAAAUCUAAGGUGAUGGUGGAUAUCCCUCCUGUACCGCCCCCUGUGCAGUUUACAACAUGCUGCACUAACCCCCUCUGUGAUCAGAUUUAUAAACAAAACAUUUGGGUGAAAACCCAGAACUCUUGUCAAACCUUACCAAACCCCAAAAAUAGAAACAUGGCAAGCAUCAAGACAAACACAAGAGAAUUUUAAAUAAAUAAUGUGGAAAAUUCUAAAAACUAAGAACAUUAAGAAAAUAUUUUUUAAAUACAAUAUGGCGCGUGAGAAUGAGACCGACAAGACAUGGUGGCUGAGUUGAAAGUGUAGUAUUAACUUUAGGAUUCAUUCAAUACCAUACGGUGUACAGUUUUUGAAGAAGUCGUUUAUAAUAUUUCACCUGUAGAUUCAGUCAUCAAAAGAAAGUUAUUUUUACAAUUCUUAAAUAACUAGGACAAAACAUUAAAAAAAUAUACACCGUAAAAAUGUUUCAUUGGUAUCAAAUAAAUUCUAAAUACAUGCUCUUUCAGCUCAAGUAAAGAUUUCUCUGAAAAUAUUGAAAGAUACGAAAAUAAUGUUCUAGCUGAGCUUUUAUUGUUUAUUUUAAAGUCUAUAAACUUUAUAGAUCAUCAAAUCAUAAAUGUUAUGUAUAACAUAUUACCUUACCUGUAACUUCAAAUACCUUUAAAUAUUUGUAAAAAAAAUACGUAAUUCGAAUUCCAAUUUUUUAAUUUUGUUAUAAAUAGAAAUGGAAACUCCUCAUGAGUCAAACUAAACCAAGGCUUCAGCUUACAUUUAUUUGUAUAUAUAUAAAGUAUCGUUAAAAACGUGAUGCUUUUCAAGCAAAUAUGAUCGUACUUUAAAAUAUAACUUAUUUCAACAUCAGUUCAAUAAGAUAUUUUUUCUAAACGCAGUUUUACUCAUUUAUAAUCGUUUUGAUUAGAUUUUUACAACUUCUAUUAAACUUCAAGUAUUUCGAAUUUACAACAUAUUUUUAUCCUAAGAGAAAUAAUAAAAAUGCAACAAAAACGGUCGUGUUUGGUUCGUUUUUUUCUUAUUUUUCCUCUCAGGGUUAACCUUUGGCAUAGAUUAGCAGUUGUUAAAAAAAACACUUUAACUUUGUGUCUCCUUUUAAGGAACCAAGACGAUUAAAAAACCAUAUUUGUACUUUUCACUGUCACAACCAAUAAGUAAAGUGAAAUCUCUGCGUAGUGCACAGAAUCUAUUUCCUUUAUUACUUUAAAUAUAUUAACCAGUUUUUAGGAAAUAUUUUAUGAAAACAAGGUGAUAAAAUAUGAAUUGAGGCUUGGUGGAUUUUUGUACAAGCUAAUUAAAGUGUUAAGAUUUUAGCACUCAAGAUUUUAGAAGCGAACCAAAUUUUUGGGGGAAAAUUUUAUUUGAACACGAAAAAAGACAUAUCUGUCUGGCAUUGUUAAAUAAUUAUUGUAAAUAACCUGCGUGCGUAAAUGACUUAAAUAUAGCUUACAAAUAAAAUAAUAUAUCUGACCUACUGCAAACUUAACAUACAGGGUGUCUCACUAAACAUGUCAUUUUCCAGACCAGAUUAAUGAAUAUCAUAUCCUCUACUGGAAAAAUUGGCGACAUUUAUAAUUCAUAAUUCAAUAUUUUGUAAACCAUCCAAAUAAAAUUUCUUUAGACCUGACAUUUCAAAAAUGUGGUUUACUUUUUUGUGUUUUCAAAAUGACCGCAGAUGUAAAGUAACAGAAUUAAAAGUUUGAAAUAUCAGAGAUCCAGAGAGAAUCUGAGUUUGUGUCAAAAACUAAAUUCCUUUGUUUUAAAAUACAAUAUCAUGGGAAUUUUAUGAAAGGUUGUGCAAUCUUUUUAGCCUCUUAAGUUUUUUCAUGUAAAGUGAGACGGGCCAAGAAAGUUCUAUGAAAAAAGUUUUUGAGAAUAAAUUUUCUUAAAUCUAAAUUAAAGAAUCCAAAACGAAGGAUUUUAUUUCCAAAGAUAUUUUGUUUAGAACUUCAGGAUAUUUGGGACUUUUCAUUCAAGUUUUUGUUUCCAGGCUUUUAUUUUGAGAAACUUUUUUCCUGUAACUUUCUUCCGUGAAGUGGGACACCCUGUAGUCCCUCAGAGAACAAACAAAGUAUAAUACCAAAUUUAUGAUCUAACGAUAGCCAUCAUUACUUUAAAUAAUUUGUUAUAUAAAAAUGGAAAAUUAAAUGGUAUGUUUUGUGUUAUGAUCGUUAAAAAAGAAUGAUUAAUCUGUGUUUUUGUUCAGUAAAAACCAGAAAGUUCUGGAAUAGAAAGACGACUUUAUUACUCGGUUAAUCGACAAAUGAACAUGAGACACCGCAAUUUUGCACUGAACACAAACACAUUUCACUAAAUAAUUGAUUUUAAAAGUUAUAUUAGUAUAACUAUUUGCUUUUUUAUGUCAAUGUCGUCUUCCUAUUCCACGGUCUCUUCUGGUUCUCACUAAAGAUCAUCACAAUUCAGCUGCAGUAUCAUAAUCAAAAUAUGUAAAUAUUGUUAGUUUUGUUAAAUAGAACAUGUACUUUGUGAUGUCAUUUUAAUAUUAUCAAAUAUCAAAUAUCAAAAUGAUAUCAUAAUUUGUGUUAGAAAUCCGAAAGUAUUUACUAUUAGUUUUGAAUAUAAAUAAAAUUGAAAAAAUACCA